ACCGGGGCUAAUACCGGAUAACAUUUUGAACUGCAUGGUUCGAAAUUGAAAGGCGGCUUCGGCUGUCACUUAUGGAUGGACCCGCGUCGCAUUAGCUAGUUGGUGAGGUAACGGCUCACCAAGGCAACGAUGCGUAGCCGACCUGAGAGGGUGAUCGGCCACACUGGGACUGAGACACGGCCCAGACUCCUACGGGAGGCAGCAGUAGGGAAUCUUCCGCAAUGGACGAAAGUCUGACGGAGCAACGCCGCGUGAGUGAUGAAGGCUUUCGGGUCGUAAAACUCUGUUGUUAGGGAAGAACAAGUGCUAGUUGAAUAAUCUGGCACCUUGACGGUACCUAACCAGAAAGCCACGGCUAACUACGUGCCAGCAGCCGCGGUAAUACGUAGGUGGCAAGCGUUAUCCGGAAUUAUUGGGCGUAAAGCGCGCGCAGGUGGUUUCUUAAGUCUGAUGUGAAAGCCCACGGCUCAACCGUGGAGGGUCAUUGGAAACUGGGAGAC
RNAcentral lists this ribosomal RNA (500 nucleotides) under Bacillus thuringiensis. RNAcentral's name for it is "bacterial SSU rRNA". It matches the Rfam family "Bacterial small subunit ribosomal RNA", at positions 156 to 641 of the family's 1533-position model. Lineage: Bacteria; Bacillati; Bacillota; Bacilli; Caryophanales; Bacillaceae. The record is from RNAcentral.